Molecule: transfer RNA, 76 nt
Filed under: Verrucomicrobiales bacterium
Lineage: Bacteria; Pseudomonadati; Verrucomicrobiota; Verrucomicrobiia; Verrucomicrobiales
Description: tRNA-Gln
Rfam family: tRNA
About the family: Transfer RNA (tRNA) molecules are approximately 80 nucleotides in length. Their secondary structure includes four short double-helical elements and three loops (D, anti-codon, and T loops). Further hydrogen bonds mediate the characteristic L-shaped molecular structure. tRNAs have two regions of fundamental functional importance: the anti-codon, which is responsible for specific mRNA codon recognition, and the 3' end, to which the tRNAs corresponding amino acid is attached (by aminoacyl-tRNA synthetases). tRNAs cope with the degeneracy of the genetic code in two manners: having more than one tRNA (with a specific anti-codon) for a particular amino acid; and 'wobble' base-pairing, i.e. permitting non-standard base-pairing at the 3rd anti-codon position.
Source: RNAcentral
UGCCCGGUGGUGCAAUUGGUAGCACAUCAGAUUCUGGAUCUGAGUGUUCAAGGUUCGAGUCCUUGCCGGGCAGCCA